UACGUAGGGUGCAAGCGUUGUCCGGAAUUAUUGGGCGUAAAGAGCUCGUAGGCGGUUUGUCGCGUCUGCUGUGAAAACCCGAGGCUCAACCUCGGGCCUGCAGUGGGUACGGGCAGACUAGAGUGCGGUAGGGGAGAUUGGAAUUCCUGGUGUAGCGGUGGAAUGCGCAGAUAUCAGGAGGAACACCAGCGGCGAAGGCGGCGAUCUGGGCCAGUACUGACGCUGAGGAGCGAAAGCGUGGGGAGCGAACAGG
This 253-nucleotide ribosomal RNA is filed under the name uncultured bacterium. Its description in RNAcentral is "partial 16S ribosomal RNA". It matches the Rfam family "Bacterial small subunit ribosomal RNA", at positions 524 to 776 of the family's 1533-position model. The record is from RNAcentral.